UGGGGAAUUGUUCGCAAUGGGCGCAAGCCUGACGACGCAACGCCGCGUGGAGGAUGAAGAUUUUCGGAUCGUAAACUCCUGUCGAGUGGGAAGAACAGCUCCUGGAUAAAUAUUCCGGGAGCCUGACGGUACCACUAAAGGAAGCCCCGGCUAACUCCGUGCCAGCAGCCGCGGUAAUACGGGGGGGGCAAGCGUUGUUCGGAAUCACUGGGCGUAAAGGGCGUGUAGGCGGUCAGGUAAGUGAGACGUGAAAUGCCUCGGCUCACCCGAGGAGCGGCGUCUCAUACUGCUUGGCUUGAGUACGGGAGAGGAUGUGGGAAUUCCUGGUGUAGCGGUGAAAUGCGUAGAUAUCAGGAGGAACACCGGUGGCGAAGGCGCACAUCUGGCCCGAUACUGACGCUGAGGCGCGAAAGCUAGGGGAGCAAA
This 426-nucleotide ribosomal RNA is filed under the name uncultured bacterium. RNAcentral describes it as "bacterial SSU rRNA". It matches the Rfam family "Bacterial small subunit ribosomal RNA", at positions 355 to 772 of the family's 1533-position model. The record is from RNAcentral.